AUAAUUAAGCGGAGGAAAAGAAACUAACUAGGAUUCCCUCAGUAACGGCGAGUGAAGCGGGACUAGCUCAGGAUGUGAAUCUGCGCUUUUAUGGCGCCGAAUUGUGGUCUGUAGACCUUGACGUUAUUUGCCGGGCCAAGUUCCUUGGAAAAGGACAGCUGAGAGGGUGAGACUCCCGUCCGCCUGGUAGAGUGAGUCAUGUGUCAACGAGUCGAGUUGUUUGGGAUUGCAGCUCUAAUUUGGUGGUAAAUUCCAUCUAAAGCUAAAUAUUGGUGGGAGACCGAUAGCGUACAAGUACCGUGAGGGAAAGAUGCAAAGAACUUUGAAAAGAGAGUUAAAGAGUACCUGAAAUUGCUGAAACGGAAGCGAAGGAAACCAGUGUUUGUUGGUUCAUAUUUCCCUAGCCACUUGUGGUUUGGGCGCUGUGAACUUGCGUGAGUUUGGGUUGGUUGAAUCUUUUGGAAGAGCGCAGACAGAGUUGAUGUUUGUUGCUAGCACUGGAUUUGACUGAUGCAGACGAAAUGGUUUUCUUUACCCCGUCUUGAAACACGGACCAAGGAGUCUAACAUAUGUGCGAGUACAGGGGUGUCAAACCCCGGUGCGUAAUGAAAGUGACAGUGGUUGGAUAUUUUGCACAAUCCGCCGGCCUCAAUCCUUCGGGAGAACGGUCUGAGUGUGAGCAUACAUGUUGGGACCCGAAAGAUGGUGAACUAUGCCUGAAUAGGGUGAAGCCA
Molecule: ribosomal RNA, 734 nt
Filed under: Fragilariopsis sp. RCC4604
Lineage: Eukaryota; Bacillariophyta; Bacillariophyceae; Bacillariales; Bacillariaceae
Description: LSU rRNA
Rfam family: Eukaryotic large subunit ribosomal RNA
Source: RNAcentral